AUUUGGUAGAUGUCUCUUCAACUCUUUUUACAUAUACAAUAUACAUAUAUAUUUAUAUACGUAUAUAUUUUACUUUCACUAGUUUUAUUUUAAAAGGUUUUGGGUUUUUUUUAAUGUCUGCUUUAAUCAUUCUUGCAGUGACGUAAGAAAAAAACAUACUAUAGGACAGAGUUAAUACAAAAGGUUUAAGUAUCGUUAGUUUAGUUUAAUAAGUCCGGAUCUCACUUAACACGUGGCUAUCACAGUAAUUAACGGCAGUGAAUAAUUAACUUAUCUCGAAUUAUUACUUACACUUCAUUAAACAAUUUGGUCGUCAAUGGAUUUUCUGUGUAAGUGCUAAUGUUGAUUUGUAAGAUUAGUGUACAUACUGUUGUUGACCAUAAACCUAUCUUCUAACCUCCACCUUCACGUAAUGUUUUCUCAACAGCCCAAACCAAACAAUUUCUCCGACUCUACCUCUCUAUCAAAGGAAAAUCGAAACAGUGAAACAUUUUACUAAGUGAAAGAUCAAAUCUAUAACUAACUUUGCAAUCCAUAGUAAGUUCCACUUAAAAAGACCAGGUUUAUAUUUUUAGAAGUGUUUACAAAUGUUUGAAAUAUCCCAUUAACCCCUCCAAUCCAAUCCUUAAUCACUACUUUUCACAAAGACACGGAAAACUAUAAGUAAGAUAUAUUAUUAAAAAUUCAAUUAUAUUCAUACAUUGCCAUUUAUAUUUACUAUACCUGCAUUUUAUUGCAGGUUUGAAAUAUAUUUAUUUACUGAUUAUUGGAGAUUACUGUGUCCGAGUUGAGGAGCCCGAUCCACCAACCAACUUAACAAAUUAUUGUCGAUUCCCACCUACGAUACCACAAUAAGUAUCAGGGAAAAGUAUGAAGAACUGUUUGAUUUUUAAUAAUAUUACAUUACUAGCUUGGGAAAUUAGUGUUGUUCAGGUUAUUUGUAGUUACUCCCGCCGUUUACCCGCACUUGGUCGAUUUACCGGGAAACUAGAUUUUCAAAAUAAUAGUCGACCCACUCAACUUAGAAUCUCAAAACUAAGCGAAGUACAUUCGUGUGGCUGUCCUGAGUUUCUCAAUCAAAAUUUAGGGCAAAUUCGGUCCAGGGCCAGGGGUUUCUGAGUUAUGAUCGGAAAAACUAACAAACAGACAAGCAAAGAUUAUAACUUUAUAUUUAUAGAUGUAAAUCUUGAAUAUUUAGCAGACCGUCGCAAUUGUAAUAUAUUUCGAGAAAUAAUAAAUAUAUUGUAUUUCCCCCCCUGGGUAACGAAGGAUAGAAUGUAUAGCCCUCUGGACAAGAAAAGUCAUUACAGCUAAAAUUGCUGUACGUUAGACGAUGUAAUUCCACUAAACGUACUGAACCGAAACAUAAACAUAAACAUAAUACGUCAUAUUUCAAAUAUACAAAACAAUUUCAAUAUUUAUGACAUAAUUAAUAACAUAUAAAGCAUUUUUUGAUAAUCAUUAAUGCAAUAAUAAUAAUCAUAUAUGUAAUGAUAAAAAUUAGUACCAAUAUGGAGGUCAAAGGACGGACUCUAUCGAAACUAGGUUUCCAUCCGUCUGGAUCUCAUUUCCCUGUAGCGCCCCCUCUACCUCCUCAUGUUAAGAGACUUCUAGAUCAUUUGAAGAAAGGUUUGAAUGAAUGCUUUGAAUGAUAGAGGAGUAGGUUUGGAACUCACUGAGCCUAAUUUUCAAGAUGAUCAAAAGCAAUUAUUAGCAGAG
Long non-coding RNA from Eurytemora carolleeae, 1719 nucleotides. RefSeq lists it as uncharacterized. The transcript has 4 exons. The record is from RefSeq and is a predicted model, not a curated record. Lineage: Eukaryota; Metazoa; Arthropoda; Copepoda; Calanoida; Temoridae.